Molecule: ribosomal RNA, 253 nt
Filed under: uncultured bacterium
Lineage: Bacteria
Description: partial 16S ribosomal RNA
Rfam family: Bacterial small subunit ribosomal RNA
Source: RNAcentral
GACAAGGGAUGCAAGCGUUAUCCGGAAUGUUUGGGCGUAAAGCGUCUGUAGGUGGCUUUUUACGUCUGCCGUCAAAUCCCAGGGCUCAACCCUGGCCAGGUGGUGGAGACUACUAAGCUGGAGUACGGUAGGGGCAGAGGGAUUUUCCGGUCGAGCGUUGAAAUGCGUAGAUAUCGGAAUGAACACCUAGGGCUAAGCCUCGCUGCUGAGCCGAAUCUGACACUGAGAGACAAGAGCUAGGGGGGCAAAUGGG